RNAcentral lists this ribosomal RNA (253 nucleotides) under uncultured bacterium. Its description in RNAcentral is "partial 16S ribosomal RNA". It matches the Rfam family "Bacterial small subunit ribosomal RNA", at positions 524 to 776 of the family's 1533-position model. The record is from RNAcentral.
UACGUAGGGUGCGAGCGUUGUCCGGAAUCACUGGGCGUAAAGCGCACGUAGGCGGACUCUUAAGUCGGUGGUGAAAUCCUGGAGCUCAACUCCAGAACUGCCUUCGAUACUGGGAGUCUCGAGUUCGGGAGAGGUGAGUGGAACUGCGAGUGUAGAGGUGAAAUUCGUAGAUAUCGGGAGGAACACCAGUGGCGAAGGCGGCGACCUGGGCAGAUACUGACGCUGAGGUGCGAAAGCGUGGGGAGCAAACAGG